RNAcentral lists this ribosomal RNA (521 nucleotides) under uncultured bacterium. RNAcentral's name for it is "bacterial SSU rRNA". It matches the Rfam family "Archaeal small subunit ribosomal RNA", at positions 345 to 866 of the family's 1478-position model. The record is from RNAcentral.
AACCUCCGCAAUGUGAGAAAUCGCGACGGGGGGAUUCCAAGUGCCAUUCUUAACGGGAUGGCUUUUCAUUAGUGUAAAGAGCUUUUGGAAUAAGAGCUGGGCAAGACCGGUGCCAGCCGCCGCGGUAACACCGGCAGCUCUAGUGGUAGCAGUUUUUAUUGGGCCUAAAGCGUCCGUAGCCGGUUUAAUAAGUCUCUGGUGAAAUCCUGUAGCUUAACUGUGGGAAUUGCUGGAGAUACUAUUAGACUUGAGAUCGGGAGAGGUUAGAGGUACUCCCAGGGUAGAGGUGAAAUUCUGUAAUCCUGGGAGGACCGCCUGUUGCGAAGGCUUCUAACUGGAACGAUUCUGACGGUGAGGGACGAAAGUUAGGGGCGCGAACCGGAUUAGAUACCCGGGUAGUCCUAACUGUAAACGAUGCGGACUUGGUGUUGGGGUGGCUUUGAGCUGCUCCAGUGCUGAAGGGAAGCUGUUAAGUCCGCCGCCUGGGAAGUACGGUCGCAAGACUGAAACUUAAAGGAAUU